Molecule: unclassified non-coding RNA, 344 nt
Filed under: soil metagenome
Description: partial contains 5.8S ribosomal RNA, internal transcribed spacer 2, and large subunit ribosomal RNA
Rfam family: 5.8S ribosomal RNA (bases 1-120)
Source: RNAcentral
GAUGAAGAAGGCAGCGAAAUGCGAUACGUAAUGUGAAUUGCAGAAUUCAGUGAAUCAUCGAGUCUUUGAACGCACAUUGCGCCCUCUGGUAUUCCGGAGGGCAUGCCUGUCCGAGCGUCAUUGCUGCCCUCAAGCACGGCUUGUGUGUUGGGCCCCGCCCCCCGAUCCCGGGGGGCGGGCCCGAAAGGCAGCGGCGGCACCGCGUCCGGUCCUCGAGCGUAUGGGGCUUUGUCACCCGCUCUGUAGGCCCGGCCGGCGCCUGCCGAUCAACCAAACUUUUUUCCAGGUUGACCUCGGAUCAGGUAGGGAUACCCGCUGAACUUAAGCAUAUCAAUAAGCGAGGA